GCCGGUGUAGUGCAGUGGUGAGCACGUUUCGUUGUGGUCAGGCUUUGUCUCUGCGCUCCUCCAGUGUGUGAGGCUGGUCAAAUGCAAAACCCGAAGAGACCUUGGUUCGAACCCAAGCACCGGCA
This is a transfer RNA of Exophiala spinifera, 125 nucleotides long. It matches the Rfam family "tRNA". From Rfam's summary of the family: Transfer RNA (tRNA) molecules are approximately 80 nucleotides in length. Lineage: Eukaryota; Fungi; Ascomycota; Eurotiomycetes; Chaetothyriales; Herpotrichiellaceae. The record is from Rfam.